GUGUGUGUGUGUCUGUGUGUCUGUGUCUGUGUCUGUAUCUGUGUGUAGUGGGUUUGUUUAGCUGAAUAACAUCAUUUUCCUGGGAGGGAUCUAGAAGUCAUCUGAUCUAUUUGGACCAAUGAGAUAUUCCAUAACAUGUUACCUCGCCUCAGAUAUAAAAAAGCGAGGAAGAAGCUGCUGGCUCUCCUCUUCUAGGAGAGCUGCUGGGAACAGCUCCUGGUGGCAGGGGAUCAUCAGUUCUUGUGGAAAGUAGAUUUUUACUGCUGGUUUCCUUUGCCUGUGUGUUUGUAGUGUUAUUAGGUUUUUUCAUUUUUUCUCUGUGUAACUAUAAAACUGCCUUUCUUAGUAAAUCCCAGGUUUUUAUUUUUUGUUUUUCCUGUCCCCCCUUUUGUCUCUGGAGUGGAAUCAGCGCAGCCUCGGUGGACACCUGGUGUUCAGCCAAGGCAGUGUUGGAGUCCUGCCAUCGGCACUUUGAACAGGGAAUCCUUCCUGCCCUCCUGUUAAUUUUCUGUACAUGUGCUGGCAUCCAGGCUGGAGAGAGAAGAGAGUGAGACCUUGGUGAAUGAGAUGGAGGAGAUGAGUGGAAGAGAUGAAUCUCAGGGGAGAAGAGGGAAGGGAACUGUCCUCUGUUGAGGAGAAAAAAAUGCACUGUCUGCUGUGGAAGUU
Molecule: long non-coding RNA, 666 nt
Organism: Pseudopipra pipra
Lineage: Eukaryota; Metazoa; Chordata; Aves; Passeriformes; Pipridae
Exons: 2
Source: RefSeq, a predicted model, not a curated record